This 253-nucleotide unclassified non-coding RNA is filed under the name uncultured Pirellulaceae bacterium. Its description in RNAcentral is "contains 16S-23S intergenic spacer region". It matches the Rfam family "Bacterial small subunit ribosomal RNA", at positions 524 to 776 of the family's 1533-position model. The record is from RNAcentral. Lineage: Bacteria; Pseudomonadati; Planctomycetota; Planctomycetia; Pirellulales; Pirellulaceae.
CACGAACUGUGCAAACGUUAUUCGGAAUCACUGGGCUUAAAGAGUCCGUAGGCGGCUCGGUAGGUGAGGUGUGAAAUCCCACGGCUCAACCGUGGAAUUGCGCUUCAAACCAUCGAGCUUGAGGGAGAUAGAGGAGAGCGGAACUGAUGGUGGAGCGGUGAAAUGCGUUGAUAUCAUCAGGAACACCGGUGGCGAAAGCGGCUCUCUGGGUCUCUUCUGACGCUGAGGGACGAAAGCUAGGGGAGCGAACGGG